This 92-nucleotide transfer RNA is filed under the name Candidatus Pelagibacteraceae bacterium. RNAcentral's name for it is "tRNA-Sec". It matches the Rfam family "Selenocysteine transfer RNA". The record is from RNAcentral. Lineage: Bacteria; Pseudomonadati; Pseudomonadota; Alphaproteobacteria; Candidatus Pelagibacterales; Candidatus Pelagibacteraceae.
GGGAAUGAUUGAGUAGCUGGUGCUUUCCACGGCCUUCAAAGCCGAUGUCUCGAAUUUAUUUGAGAGCUGGGUUCGAUUCCCAGGCAUUCCCG